UCUUCAAAAUUUCUCAAACUCUUAUUCUCUCAAACCCAUUUUCUCUCAUUCUCCAACCCUUUCCCAACUCCUCUAUAUCUCUCAAUUCUCUCCGUUUUAAUACAAAAUCAAGAUCCAAAUACUCAAAAAAAUUUGUUGGAUUCGGAUAUGCUUUCUAUAUUUUCAUCAAAUCCAUUUACAAAGGUACACAUAUUUAUAAAUUAUUUGUUAUUUUAAAAAUUCUUUUAAUUGGUUUGUAUGAUAGAAAUAAUUGGUCUGUAUGUUUUAUGAACAUGUGUAGAAAUAUAUGUUGAAAUGGGUAUAAAAAUAUGCUAUAUGAUUUUUGUAUGUUGAAAUUAAUUACAAAUAUAUGUUGAAAUGGGAAAAAAUAUAUGCUAAAAUUAUAGAAAUAUAUGCUGAAAUUUGUAAAAAAUAGAAUAUACUUUUUAUUUUUAUUAAACUGAAUUUUUAUUUAUUUUAUAAAACAUAAUAUUUUAUUAUUAUAAAAAAAAUAUUAUUAUUUGUUAAAACAGAAUAUAUUUUUUUAUUAUAUGUUAAAUAAUUAAAUAUUAUAUUUUAGGAAACAAAAUAUCAUUACCCUCUAUUAUUAAGCUAAAUAUAAAUAUUGUAUUACUAACAUUUAUUACUAUUUUUAAUAUAUUUAUGAUAGUUAUGAUUUAUUAUAUUUAUAUUAUUUUAAAUAUUAAUAAUUUAAUAUUUAUAAUAAUGUAAAUAUAAUAUUUUUUUAUUAGCUUAUUUACUUUUUGCUAGGUGAUUUCCAUCCCGUAAGUUUUAAUCUUUUUCUGCUCUGCUCUGAACCACCCUGCACUCCUGCACUCUCUGCUCUGUUUUGCGUGUAAUUCUAGUAAAAGACUUGCGGGGUGCUUUUCACCUGGCAAAAUUGCGAAGUGAAAACCACCUGGCAAACUUGUGAAGUGCGUUUCCCCUUGCAAAAAGUUGCGACUAACGUUUUUGCGAUGUGUUUUGUCCACCCCGCAAUUGUUACGUUGCAGGGUGAUAUUUGCAUCUGCGGGGUGCUAUUCACCUGGCAAAUUGAUGUUUUUUUUGUAGUGGAUGGUUAUUUCCUUAUUUGAUGAAAUGAUGUAUAAAAUGUAUGUCAUAUUAGUGUUAUUUUAGUUUUGAUGUAUUAUUAAAUAAUUUUGGUUUCUUACAUUUAUCAUUUUGGUUUUGAUUCACAAAUAGUCUAUUGUUGUUUCUCUAUAUCUGUUUUGAUUCAUAAAAAUACAUAUUAUAGGAGAUGUAUGUAAAAUCAAAAAAAUUAUAUUUAAAAAAACAAAGUAUUUCAUCACGGUUGGUUCUUCAAACUAUGGAGAAACGUAAUGAUAUUUCAACUUGGUAAAAAUUAACAACCGUCGUGAAAAGUUGGAUAUUUCAAUCGUUAUGAAAAGUGGCGCGUUAUCCAAAUUUUUACUUCAGCCACUAGCAUAUGAUGGAAAGUAAUGCACUUUAUAUCACAUUCUUUAUUACCGUGGACCAUCAACCAUGGUUUUGCAAUUUGAAUGAGAGACUAAUAGGGCCAAACUCCUACAAACUACAAUUUUAAAGCGAAGAUUGAAAUAUACAUCUCUUGCAAUAAUCAGAAGCAUCUAAAUUCUAGAAACUGUAAUACAUAUGAAAUUGUAAUACAUAUGUUUAUGUUAAAAUAUUUUUAUUUUUUGUAUUGACUUUUAAUUUUUUUGGUUUAAUUUCCUUCUUUCUUCACAA
This is a long non-coding RNA of Vicia villosa (hairy vetch), 1704 nucleotides long. RefSeq lists it as uncharacterized. The transcript has 3 exons. The record is from RefSeq and is a predicted model, not a curated record. Lineage: Eukaryota; Viridiplantae; Streptophyta; Magnoliopsida; Fabales; Fabaceae.